Molecule: transfer RNA, 74 nt
Filed under: Candidatus Omnitrophota bacterium
Lineage: Bacteria; Pseudomonadati; Candidatus Omnitrophota
Description: Candidatus Omnitrophica bacterium tRNA-Val
Rfam family: tRNA
About the family: Transfer RNA (tRNA) molecules are approximately 80 nucleotides in length. Their secondary structure includes four short double-helical elements and three loops (D, anti-codon, and T loops).
Source: RNAcentral
GGGCGCUUAGCUCAGCUGGUUAGAGCAUCUGCUUUACACGCAGAGGGUCGGGGGUUCAAGUCCUCUAGCGCCCA